RNAcentral lists this ribosomal RNA (253 nucleotides) under uncultured bacterium. RNAcentral describes it as "partial 16S ribosomal RNA". It matches the Rfam family "Bacterial small subunit ribosomal RNA", at positions 524 to 776 of the family's 1533-position model. The record is from RNAcentral.
UACGUAGGGUGCGAGCGUUAAUCGGAAUUACUGGGCGUAAAGCGUGCGCAGGCGGUUCGUUAAGUCAGCUGUGAAAGCCCCGGGCUCAACCUGGGAACUGCGGUUGAAACUGGCGAACUAGAAUCUGGCAGAGGGGGGUGGAAUUCCACGUGUAGCAGUGAAAUGCGUAGAGAUGUGGAGGAACACCGAUGGCGAAGGCAGCCCCCUGGGCUGAGAUUGACGCUCAUGCACGAAAGCGUGGGGAGCAAACAGG